AACGAACGCUGGCGGCAUGCCUAACACAUGCAAGUCGAACGAUACCUUCGGGUCUGGUGGCGCACGGGGGCGUAAGGCGGGGUAACCUGCCCUUAGGUUCGGAAUAACUCCCCGAUAGGGGUGCUAAUACCGGAUAAUGUCUUCGGACCAAAGAUUUAUCGCCGUUGGAUGGGCCCGGGUUGGAUUAGCUAGUUGGUGGGGUAAAAGCCUACCAAGGCGACGAUCCGUAGCUGGUCUGAGAGGAUGUUCAGCCACACUGGGCCUGAGACACGGCCCAGAAUCCUACGGGAGGCAGCAGUGGGGAAUAUUAGACAAUGGGCGCAAGCCUGAUCCAGCAAUGCCGCGUGAGUGAUGAAGGCCUUAGGGUUGUAAAGCUCUUUUACCCGGGAUGAUAAUGACAGUACCGGGAGAAUAAGCACCGGCUAACUACGUG
RNAcentral lists this ribosomal RNA (433 nucleotides) under uncultured bacterium. RNAcentral describes it as "partial 16S ribosomal RNA". It matches the Rfam family "Bacterial small subunit ribosomal RNA", at positions 29 to 507 of the family's 1533-position model. The record is from RNAcentral.